UGCCAGCAGCCGCGGUAAUACGGAGGGUGCAAGCGUUACUCGGAAUCACUGGGCGUAAAGCGCUCGUAGGUGGCUUUGUAAGUCAGAUGUGAAAGCCCACGGCUCAACCGUGGAAUUGCAUUUGAUACUGCAUCGCUAGAGUAUAGGAGAGGGAAGUGGAAUUUCUGGUGUAGGAGUGAAAUCCGUAGAGAUCAGAAGGAAUACCGAUUGCGAAGGCGAUCUACUGGAACAUUAUUGACGCUGAGACGCGAAAGCGUGGGGUGCAAACAGGAUUAGAUA
Molecule: ribosomal RNA, 279 nt
Filed under: uncultured bacterium
Lineage: Bacteria
Description: partial 16S ribosomal RNA
Rfam family: Bacterial small subunit ribosomal RNA
Source: RNAcentral